Molecule: ribosomal RNA, 458 nt
Filed under: uncultured bacterium
Lineage: Bacteria
Description: partial 16S ribosomal RNA
Rfam family: Bacterial small subunit ribosomal RNA
Source: RNAcentral
CCUACGGGAGGCUGCAGUGAGGAAUAUUGGUCAAUGGGCGAGAGCCUGAACCAGCCAAGUCGCGUGAGGGAGUACUGCCCUAUGGGUUGUAAACCUCUUUUGUCGGGGAGCAAAAGCCGGACCUGUCCGGCUGUGAGAGUACCCGAAGAAAAAGCAUCGGCUAACUCCGGGCCAGCAGCCGCGGGAAUACGGGGGAUGCGCACGUUAUCCGGAUUUUUUUGGGUUAAAGGGGGCGCAGGCGGAUUUUUAAGUCAGCGGGUAAAAGGGGGGGCUCAACCCCAUCCAGCCGUUGAAACUGGGGAUCUAGAGUGUGCGAGAGGUAUGCGGAAUGCGUGGUGUAGCGGUGAAAUGCAUAGAUAUCACGCAGAACCCCGAUUGCGAAGGCAGCAUACCGGUGCACAACUGACGCUCAGGCACGAAAGCGUGGGUAUCGAACAGGAUUAGAUACCCUUGUAGUC